UACGAAGGGGGCUAGCGUUGUUCGGAUUUACUGGGCGUAAAGCGCACGUAGGCGGACUUUUAAGUCAGGGGUGAAAUCCCGAGGCUCAACCUCGGAAUUGCCUUUGAUACUGGAAGUCUUGAGUUCGGAAGAGGUGAGUGGAAUUGUGAGUGUAGAGGUGAAAUUCGUAGAUAUUCACAAGAACACCGGUGGCGAAGGCGGCUCACUGGUCCGAUACUGACGCUGAGGUGCGAAAGCGUGGGGAGCAAAC
This 250-nucleotide ribosomal RNA is filed under the name uncultured bacterium. RNAcentral describes it as "partial 16S ribosomal RNA". It matches the Rfam family "Bacterial small subunit ribosomal RNA", at positions 524 to 773 of the family's 1533-position model. The record is from RNAcentral.